Molecule: ribosomal RNA, 706 nt
Filed under: Salmonella enterica
Lineage: Bacteria; Pseudomonadati; Pseudomonadota; Gammaproteobacteria; Enterobacterales; Enterobacteriaceae
Description: partial 23S ribosomal RNA
Rfam family: Bacterial large subunit ribosomal RNA
Source: RNAcentral
CAGUGAAAUUGAACUCGCUGUGAAGAUGCAGUGUACCCGCGGCAAGACGGAAAGACCCCGUGAACCUUUACUAUAGCUUGACACUGAACAUUGAGCCUUGAUGUGUAGGAUAGGUGGGAGGCUUUGAAGUGUGGACGCCAGUCUGCAUGGAGCCGACCUUGAAAUACCACCCUUUAAUGUUUGAUGUUCUAACGUGGACCCGUGAUCCGGGUUGCGGACAGUGUCUGGUGGGUAGUUUGACUGGGGCGGUCUCCUCCUAAAGAGUAACGGAGGAGCACGAAGGUUGGCUAAUCCUGGUCGGACAUCAGGAGGUUAGUGCAAUGGCAUAAGCCAGCUUGACUGCGAGCGUGACGGCGCGAGCAGGUGCGAAAGCAGGUCAUAGUGAUCCGGUGGUUCUGAAUGGAAGGGCCAUCGCUCAACGGAUAAAAGGUACUCCGGGGAUAACAGGCUGAUACCGCCCAAGAGUUCAUAUCGACGGCGGUGUUUGGCACCUCGAUGUCGGCUCAUCACAUCCUGGGGCUGAAGUAGGUCCCAAGGGUAUGGCUGUUCGCCAUUUAAAGUGGUACGCGAGCUGGGUUUAGAACGUCGUGAGACAGUUCGGUCCCUAUCUGCCGUGGGCGCUGGAGAACUGAGGGGGGCUGCUCCUAGUACGAGAGGACCGGAGUGGACGCAUCACUGGUGUUCGGGUUGUCAUGCCAAUGGCACU